Molecule: long non-coding RNA, 893 nt
Organism: Oryzias melastigma (Indian medaka)
Lineage: Eukaryota; Metazoa; Chordata; Actinopteri; Beloniformes; Adrianichthyidae
Exons: 4
Source: RefSeq, a predicted model, not a curated record
GCACGCAGCUUUCCCUCGGUCACCCAUCUCUAAUUGAAUAUUCAACGCGCGCACCGUGCCCUGCUUGCCUUUUUCAGGGAGCUAAGAAAAAGCCUUUUUAAUUCGGUGCCCAUACACAGGCACUGUCAAAGGUCUCCAAAUAAUGAACUGCGCAGACAUGGAGGAGACCUUUGCAGGAGCAGACGCUGGUGCGAAGCUGCACCCCCCAACAGUUCUCACAAGCAGCUGUGGACAAAAGUACAAAUUUCCUCCAGUAGUUUGGAGAUUAACACAAUAACACAUACACUGACCGAGGGGGGAAAUUCCAACACUCAACGUUUUCAUGACGGAGCUGCUGGAUGCCAAGGUAUGCAAAUGGUCAUGGAGCAGUCUCCCCGUGUAAUUCUCAGCUGCUUCCUCACCAUUCAAGAUCCUUUGUAUCUACCAGGUGAGAUGCUGAAUGGAGCUCCAGGUGGAGGGAGAUUGAUGUAUUUCUUCCAUUUUUUAAUAGUUGCUCCUGCAGUUGUUCUCUUCUUUUCAAGCUGUUUGCUUAUUGUAGAUUGGUUUAUUCCUCGUCUUGUACACGUGAACAAUCUGGAACCUGGUGUCAUUCGACAGCUCUUUGGUCAUGGUGGAAAAGUUGCAGUCUGACUUUUUAGGAGGGUGUGGACAGGAGUAUUGUCCACAUAUAACCAGUCAAACAGGUGACCUUAAUACAGGUACUGAGUGGAGGAUAGAAGAACUUCUAAAGAAGAAAUAACAAAACUAUGGGGAGCCGAAUUCUUGCUUGUUUGAAGGAGAUAAACAUUUUCUGCACUAUUAUACAAAUAUAUUUUUAAAUCAUGUGAUUUCCUUGAUUAUUUUUUUACAUCCUGUCUCUCACAGUUAAAGUGAUUCUACAAUGAACAUUACAG